CCUAAACCUUGCCCGACUAGGUGGAAUUACAUGUACGAAAGUUUAGUAGUAGCGUAUGAAUAUAGAAACCCAAUUAAUGCUACGUUUAAUUCUCGGGAUGUUCUGUCAAUGCAAGCGUCAACUGUUGCAUCGGAGAGCGCUUUUAGUCAAGCAAGACUACAAAUAGGUGAUCACAGAGCGUCGAUGCGGGAGAGCUUGGAAAAAUCAGUGCUUUUUCGAGAUUGGAUCCA
Molecule: long non-coding RNA, 230 nt
Filed under: Nicotiana benthamiana
Lineage: Eukaryota; Viridiplantae; Streptophyta; Magnoliopsida; Solanales; Solanaceae
Description: long non-coding RNA (NBEN_LNC013220)
Source: RNAcentral